RNAcentral lists this ribosomal RNA (1794 nucleotides) under Cardiacephala aspera. Its description in RNAcentral is "partial 28S ribosomal RNA". It matches the Rfam family "Eukaryotic large subunit ribosomal RNA", at positions 1074 to 3341 of the family's 3401-position model. The record is from RNAcentral. Lineage: Eukaryota; Metazoa; Arthropoda; Insecta; Diptera; Micropezidae.
UAAGAACCUCCCCUUUCCUGAUAUGAAGGUUGAGGUUAUGAUAUAAUGUGCCCAGUGGGCCACUUUUGGUAAGCAGAACUGGCGCUGUGGGAUGAACCAAACGUAAUGUUACGGUGCCAAAAUUAACAACUCAUACAGAUACCAUGAAAGGCGUUGGUUGCUUAAAACAGCAGGACGGUGGACAUGGAAGUCGUAAUCCGCUAAGGAGUGUGUAACAACUCACCUGCCGAAGCAACUAGCCCUUAAAAUGGAUGGCGCUUAAGUUGUAUACCUAUACAUUACCGCUAAAGUAAAUGAUUUAUAUUCAAUUACGAUUGGAUUUAAUAAAUUUUGAAACUUUAGUGAGUAGGAGGGUAUAAUGAUGUGCAUAGAAGUGUUUGGCGUAAGCCUGCAUGGAGCCGUCAUUAGUACAGAUCUUGGUGGUAGUAGCAAAUAAUCGAAUGAGACCUUGGAGGACUGAAGUGGAGAAGGGUUUCGUGUGAACAGUGGUUGAUCACGAGUUAGUCGGUCCUAAGUUUAAUGCGAAAGCUGAAUAUUUUCAAAGUUUAAUUUAAAAUUAAUAAAUAAAAAUUGUAUAAAACACAUACAACAUAUAUAUUAUUAUAUAUAUAAUACACUUUGAUUAAUAUAUUUAAACGAAAGUUUCGUGUGAACAGUGGUUGAUCACGAGUUAGUCGCUCCUAAGUUUAAUGCGAAAGCUGAAUAUUUUCAAAGUUUAAUUUAAAAUUAAUAAAUAAAAAUUGUAUAAAACACAUACAACAUAUAUAUUAUUUUAUAUAUAAUACACUUUGAUUAAUAUAUUUAAACGAAAGGGAAUACGGUUCCAAUUCCGUAACCUGUUGAGUAUCCGUUUGUUAUUAAAAAUGGGCCUUGUGCUCAUCCUGGUAACAGGAACGACCAUAAAGAAGCCGUCGAGAGAUAUUGGAAGAGUUUUCUUUUCUGUUUUAUAAUCGUACUACCAUGGAAGUCUUUCGAAGAGAGAUAUGGUAGAUGGAUUAGAAGAGCAUGACAUUUCCUGUUGUGUCGAUAUUAUCUCCUCGGACCUUGAAAAUUUAUGGUGGGGUCACGUAAAUCUCUCAACAGGCCGUACCGAUAUCCGCAGCUGGUCUCCAAGGUGAAGAGUCUCUAGUCGAUAGAAUAAUGUAGGUAAGGGAAGUCGGCAAAUUAUUUAAGGAGUUUUUAACAAGAGGUGUCAGAAAAGUUACCACAGGGGUAACUGGCUUGUGGCGGCCAAGCGUUCAUAGCGACGUCGCUUUUUGAUCCUUCGAUGUCGGCUCUCCCUAUCAUUGUGAAGCAAAAUUCACCAAGCGUUGGAUUGUUCACCCAUGCAAGGGAACGUGAGCUGGGUUUAGACCGUCGUGAGACAGGUUAGUUUUACCCUACUAAUGACAAUAUGUUAUUGCGACAGCAUUCCUGCGUAGUACGAGAGGAACCGCAGGUACGGACCAAUGGUACAAUACUUGUUCGAGCGAACAGUGGUAUGAUACUACGUCCGUUGGAUUAUGCCUGAACGCCUCUAAGGUCGUAUCCGCGCUGGACUGCAAUGAUAAAUAUGGGGCAAUUGCAUUGUAUGGCUUCUAAAUUAUUUUUAAGUUUUAUAAGUAACAUUAUAAAACGACAAACAAAUAAUUGUAUGUGACGCCAAUGUUAUAUGUAAUAUAGCUAAUGUAAGAGGAUUAAAUAUCACUUGCAUGUUAUGCUUUUUAAUUACACAUAUUUAAAACAUUAUUUAAUACAAUGACAAUGCCUAGAAUCAAUUGUAAACGACUUUGGUAACGGGCAAGGUGUUGUAAG